AGCGGCGCUGGGUGGUUCCCGCCGUGGGCCAGCUUCCCCCUGGGCUCCGGCUUCCCCCGGGCCCGCCGCCUUCUCCAGCCUCUUCCCCCGCCUCCUCCCGGCCGGGCCCACCACCUCUUCCGGCCGAGCCCGUGGCUCUGGCCGGGCCCACCGCCUCCCGGGCCCGCCGCCUCCUCGCCCGGCUUCCCCCACCGCCUCCUCGCUGCGCCGCGCCCGGCCCGGCGCCUCGGCUCCUCGGCCUCUCCCCGUCGCUGCCGGGCCAGGCCCACCAGCGGCCAUGGCCGCCGCCUCUGCAACGAACCUUCCACUCCCGCUCAGCCAAUGAGAGGCUGCGCGCGCCACGCAUGCACAGAACACCUCCCAGAGACACGGAUGCAGGACACGGACGCAGUGACCUCCGCUCAACCUACAGAUGAAUAGAUUCAUCCACUCGAUGGAGAAGAUGGGGAUCCAACCCUAGAUACAGUGAGCCGAGAACCAUGGAUGACAUGGCCAGGGCAGGCCAACUAGGAUGAUUGGGGCUCGCAGCUCACAAACCCUGCAAAUGAUGUGAUUGGAUACACUCCCUAUCACUGAGGAGAAUCACCAUUCAGGUUUCCUCGCCUUUCCCAGCCUCCAAGAACAGGCACCGCCGAUUCUGUGCAGGGUCAGGUUCCUCCCGGCCAUCAUAUUGUCUGUUGCUCGGUUGAGUAAAGGCCCCGUGCUGUCAUGAGCCGGGAGGGCCCGGCACCUCCAAAUUAUUCAGAAAGGUGAAAACCAGAACAAAUUGCACAGAGCUCCAAAAGGAUCUUUUCAAACUAGGUGAAUAGGCAGCAACAUGGUAAAUGUUUAAUGUAAGUAGGUAUAAACUGAUGCAAAUUGGGGUAAAAAAAUCCUAAUUUCAUGUGUACGCUGAUGGGGGUGUGAAUUGGCAGUGAAUAAUGAGGAGUGCGAUCUUGGGGUUAGCUGCACUUACUGUUGCCUGCCAGAUCCUUCCAGCCUCCUCUCAUUAGUUACUGGUGUAAUGAUUGUAUAAACUUUAUAUUUUUAUAACCUGCUCUAAGAACUAUGGCAGAAAAGCAUCCUAUACAUCUUUAAAAAUAAAUAAAUAGUUAUGCCAACUGAAUUCUGCAUUGGCACAUUGUUGAUAAAAUUCUUAACAGAUUAAUGUCUUUACAUUUUGUUCCAGGCAGCAUGCUUUGUGAGCAUUGUGGAUUUAGAGCACUUCCAGACAUGCUUCUUGUGGCACCACACUGUUGCUUUUGCACUACUUCCGCACUGCAGGAAAUAUCACAUGUUUUUAGGACAUAGAUUAAUCCUCCCUCUUUUAGCCUGAUUCUGUUGCAAUCGGUUGCAUCUGGGCAUGUGCUUCUCAAAAAAUGACGGAACAGUAACACUAAUAGUCUGCACAUGCAGUCACUGUGCAGAUCUGUACCAUUGUUCUCAAAAAAGUGAUAUUUUCUCUGUUAAUAAAAGCGGCAUUUAAGCUCAGGAAAAGUACAGGUUGACAAUAGAUGGAUGAUUAUGUUGUGUGAACCCUCUGUAAAGGUGUGAAAGUCCCAGGCUAAACAUCCUGUUUGGAAGUACCCUUAUUUUCAUUACAUACAUCCUUUAACCUUUUGUGAUGAAUGGGAGGUUCUAUGUAUUUUGGAGAGAAGAGGGUUGGGUUGUUGUUUUUUAAAGUAGGUGUGGUAUGAAAAACUUAACCAGAAAAAAAGAACUUUAAAGGACAUCUCAGACUCUAAGAGUUGCUAAAUAGGUGGGUAUGGACAAAAUCAGAAACAGUUGCUAAAAUAUGAUACAGCCACUGGGUGUGCUAUCGUUCCACUCUAUGCCUCACACACAUCUUAAAUGAAAACAGGUAGACUUGUUUUAUGUUGUAUGCACAAGGGAUUUACAAUCUGGAAAUGGUCCAGCUAUGUGAAUGUACAAAUCAUUUCUGUUGGGAUCUCAUGACAUGUCCCUCAAACAAUUAUUGAAGUAUUAGCUUCAAAUUAUGCAGUUGUCGGUGGGCGGGGGCAGGGGGACCACAGACUUUUUACAUGUAGAAUUUAUAACGUUCUACAUUUUUAUUCUGGUUCAACAUCCCUAAAUGUUAACAUUUUCAAAAUUCUUUUUGAGAGAAGAAGGCCUGUGGCUGCAAUACUGACCAGUGAGGGACAUACCAGUGCAGUGAGGCACCAGAUGUCCCUUCCUUGAUGUUGCCACAAUUCAUGUUAUAUUAUAUUGUUUAUUUAACAUGCUGGUAUUGAAUAAAAGUCUUAAUC
This is a long non-coding RNA of Hemicordylus capensis (graceful crag lizard), 2246 nucleotides long. RefSeq lists it as uncharacterized. The transcript is spliced from 3 exons. The record is from RefSeq and is a predicted model, not a curated record. Lineage: Eukaryota; Metazoa; Chordata; Lepidosauria; Squamata; Cordylidae.